Molecule: ribosomal RNA, 468 nt
Filed under: uncultured bacterium
Lineage: Bacteria
Description: partial 16S ribosomal RNA
Rfam family: Bacterial small subunit ribosomal RNA
Source: RNAcentral
GAUGAACCCUGGCGGCGUGCCUAACACAUGCAAGUCGAGCGAUUCUCUUCGGAGAAGAGCGGCGGACGGGUGAGUAACGCGUGGGUAACCUGCCCUGUACACACGGAUAACAUACCGAAAGGUAUGCUAAUACGAGAUAAUAUGCUUUUAUCGCAUGGUAGAAGUAUCAAAGCUCCGGCGGUACAGGAUGGACCCGCGUCUGAUUUGCUAGUUGGUAAGGUAACGGCUUACCAAGGCGACGAUCAGUAGCCGACCUGAGAGGGUGAUCGGCCACAUUGGAACUGAGACCCGGUCCAAACUCCUACGGGAGGCAGCAGUGGGGAAUAUUGCACAAUGGGCGAAAGCCUGAUGCAGCAACGCCGCGUGAGCGAUGAAGGCCUUCGGGUCGUAAAGCUCUGUCCUCAAGGAAGAUAAUGACGGUACUUGAGGAGGAAGCCCCGGCUAACUACGUGCCAGCCGCCGCGGUAA